This 24-nucleotide non-coding RNA is filed under the name Arabidopsis thaliana (thale cress). Lineage: Eukaryota; Viridiplantae; Streptophyta; Magnoliopsida; Brassicales; Brassicaceae. The record is from RNAcentral.
AAUAAAUAAAUACUUGAGUGUGCG